RNAcentral lists this ribosomal RNA (229 nucleotides) under uncultured bacterium. RNAcentral's name for it is "partial 16S ribosomal RNA". It matches the Rfam family "Bacterial small subunit ribosomal RNA", at positions 565 to 793 of the family's 1533-position model. The record is from RNAcentral.
GGGCACGUAGGCGGACAAAUAAGUUUGAUGUCAAAUAUGAUGGCUCAACCAUCAAGAGGCGUUGAAAACUGUUUAUCUAGAAUCUCGGAGAGGUAAGUGGAAUUCCAUGUGUAGCGGUGGAAUGCGUAGAUAUAUGGAGGAACACCAAUGGCGAAGGCAGCUUACUGGACGAAGAUUGACGCUGAGGUGCGAAAGCGUGGGUAGCAAACAGGAUUAGAUACCCUGGUAG